GAUGAACGCUGGCGGCGUGCCUAAUACAUGCAAGUCGAGCGCUUAAAGGGGGGCUUUCUCUGCCUGAUGAGUUGGACGGGUGUGAAUUUCACAUAUGUAUCCUGCCUCGUGGCGGGUGAUGACAAUUGGAGACGGUAGCUACUACCCCAGAACAGUAGUUGUUGCAUGGCAUUCACUUGAAAGCUCCAAUUUCAUCACUACUAGAUGGACCUUCCUCGAAUUAGCGGGUUGGUGGUAUAACGGCUCACCAAGGCAACUAGCCGUAGCCGACCGGAUGGGGUGAUCGGCCACACUGGAACUGAGACACGGGCCAGACUCCUACGGGAGGCGGCAGUGGGGAAUAUUCGGCAAUGGGCGAAAGCCUGACGGGGCAAGGCCGCGUGAGUGAUGAAGGUCUUCGGAUGGUAAAACUCUUUGAUUAGGGAAGAAGAGAUGUAGAAUGAAAUAUGCACGCUUUGACGGUACCUAACCAGAAAGCCACGGCUAACUACGUG
RNAcentral lists this ribosomal RNA (494 nucleotides) under uncultured bacterium. RNAcentral describes it as "partial 16S ribosomal RNA". It matches the Rfam family "Bacterial small subunit ribosomal RNA", at positions 28 to 507 of the family's 1533-position model. The record is from RNAcentral.